CUCUUGGUAAUUUUCUAAGUAACCUCUGCCCUAUGAGUUGCUUAAAUGGCCGCAGUAUUUUGACUGUGCAAAGGUAGCAUAAUCACUUGCCUCUUAAUUAGGGGCUGGAAUGAAAGAGGCGACGAAGUCUAGGCUAUUUAAAUUUUUAGAUAAAUUGACAAACAGGUCAAAAGGCCUGUAUAAACCAAAGGGACGAUAAGACCCUAUAAAACUUUACUUUUAGGUUGGCACUUGGYAGGGUKGUGUUAYRCUUGGGGGUUUAGCUGGGGCGGUGUUUAUAAAAACAAUUAUAUAUGCAAUAUGUUAAAUAGYGYGGUAGAACUCUUUAGGAAAUAAAACAAGUUACUUUAGGGAUAACAGCGUAAUUCUCUCAGAGAGUCCUAAUUGGCGGGGGAGCUUACGACCUCGAUGUUGAAUUGGGAUUCCGUGUGUAAGCAAACAUAYACAUAGGC
Molecule: ribosomal RNA, 452 nt
Filed under: Proasellus sp. n. Verclause
Lineage: Eukaryota; Metazoa; Arthropoda; Malacostraca; Isopoda; Asellidae
Description: partial 16S ribosomal RNA
Rfam family: Bacterial large subunit ribosomal RNA
Source: RNAcentral